RNAcentral lists this ribosomal RNA (429 nucleotides) under Acidobacteriota bacterium. Its description in RNAcentral is "Acidobacteria bacterium partial 16S ribosomal RNA". It matches the Rfam family "Bacterial small subunit ribosomal RNA", at positions 355 to 776 of the family's 1533-position model. Lineage: Bacteria; Pseudomonadati; Acidobacteriota. The record is from RNAcentral.
UGGGGAAUUUUGGACAAUGGGGGAAACCCUGAUCCAGCCAUCCCGCGUGUGCGAUGAAGGCCUUCGGGUUGUAAAGCACUUUUGGCAGGAAAGAAACGUCAUGGGUUAAUACCCCGUGAAACUGACGGUACCUGCAGAAUAAGCACCGGCUAACUACGUGCCAGCAGCCGCGGUAAUACGUAGGGUGCAAGCGUUAAUCGGAAUUACUGGGCGUAAAGCGUGCGCAGGCGGUUCGGAAAGAAAGAUGUGAAAUCCCAGAGCUCAACUUUGGAACUGCAUUUUUAACUCCCGGGCUAGAGUGUGUCAGAGGGAGGUGGAAUUCCGCGUGUAGCAGUGAAAUGCGUAGAUAUGCGGAGGAACACCGAUGGCGAAGGCAGCCUCCUGGGAUAACACUGACGCUCAUGCACGAAAGCGUGGGGAGCAAACAGG